This 465-nucleotide ribosomal RNA is filed under the name uncultured bacterium. Its description in RNAcentral is "partial 16S ribosomal RNA". It matches the Rfam family "Bacterial small subunit ribosomal RNA", at positions 28 to 507 of the family's 1533-position model. The record is from RNAcentral.
GACGAACGCUGGCGGCGUGCUUAACACAUGCAAGUCGAACGGUAAGGCCCCUUCGGGGGUACACGAGUGGCGCACGGGUGAGUAACACGUGAGCAACCUGCCCUUGACUCUGGAAUAACAGUUGGAAACAGCUGCUAAUACUGGAUAUUCAUCGUCUCCUUCCUGGGGGGUGGUGGAAAGCUCCGGCGGUCAGGGAUGGGCUCGCGGCCUAUCAGCUUGUUGGUGAGGUAAUGGCUCACCAAGGCUUCGACGGGUAGCCGGCCUGAGAGGGCGACCGGCCACACUGGGACUGAGAUACGGCCCAGACUCCUACGGGAGGCAGUAGUGGGGAAUAUUGCACAAUGGGCGCAAGCCUGAUGCAGCAACGCCGCGUGCGGGAUGACGGCCUUCGGGUUGUAAACCGCUUUCAGUAGGGACGAAGGGUGACUGACGGUACCUACAGAAGAAGGACCGGCUAACUACGUG